AUUGAACGCUGGCGGCAUGCUUUACACAUGCAAGUCGAACGGUAACAGGCCGCAAGGUGCUGACGAGUGGCGAACGGGUGAGUAAUGCAUCGGAACGUGCCCAGUCGUGGGGGAUAACGCAGCGAAAGCUGUGCUAAUACCGCAUACGAUCUAUGGAUGAAAGCGGGGGACCGUAGGGCCUCGCGCGAUUGGAGCGGCCGAUGUCAGAUUAGGUAGUUGGUGGGGUAAAGGCUCACCAAGCCAACGAUCUGUAACUGGUCUGAGAGGACGACCAGCCACACUGGGACUGAGACACGGCCCAGACUCCUACGGGAGGCAGCAGUGGGGAAUUUUGGACAAUGGGCGCAAGCCUGAUCCAGCAAUGCCGCGUGCAGGAUGAAGGCCUUCGGGUUGUAAACUGCUUUUGUACGGAACGAAAAGGCUCUCACUAAUACUGGGGCUCAUGACGGUACCGUAAGAAUAAGCACCGGCUAACUACGUGCCAGCAGCCGCAGUAA
RNAcentral lists this ribosomal RNA (497 nucleotides) under uncultured bacterium. RNAcentral describes it as "partial 16S ribosomal RNA". It matches the Rfam family "Bacterial small subunit ribosomal RNA", at positions 30 to 523 of the family's 1533-position model. The record is from RNAcentral.